RNAcentral lists this small RNA (324 nucleotides) under Arabidopsis thaliana (thale cress). RNAcentral describes it as "ATSL078860". Lineage: Eukaryota; Viridiplantae; Streptophyta; Magnoliopsida; Brassicales; Brassicaceae. The record is from RNAcentral.
UAUGAUACCCAAAAAAUCACUCUUGUUUUUCUUUUGGUAAUAGAAAUAGUUAAGGCACUGAGGGAAGUCGGAGUAUAACGUCUUCUUUCCAAAAUUGUAUUCGAAGAUCUUCUCAAGAGUGAACCGCCACCAACGUCGUAUCAAUUAGAGGCCUUCUCAAGAGUGAACCGCCACCAAUGCUGGAUUGGGUAACCGAAAGCUGAAAACUCACAAGUAGUCACAACAUGUGACAGCCCUAAGAACCUUACUACAUGUUGUGGUUUCGGGCUUGGGGAUUAUGAGUUUUGGCCUACAAUCUUCUGAUAUUCAAAAAAAAAAAAAAAA